GGGGCAGCGGGGUAGUGCUUGCACUACUGCCGGCGACCGGCGCACGGGUGAGUAACACGUAUGGAACCUGCCCGCAGCAGGGGGAUAAGCGGAAGAAAUUCCGUCUAAUACCGCGUAACAACGUUGGGAGGCAUCUCCCGAUGUUCAAAGAUUUAUCGGCUGCGGAUGGCCAUGCGGCGCAUUAGCUAGUCGGCGGGGUAACGGCCCACCGAGGCGACGAUGCGUAGGGGUUCUGAGAGGAAGGUCCCCCACACUGGUACUGAGACACGGACCAGACUCCUACGGGAGGCAGCAGUGAGGAAUAUUGGUCAAUGGCCGAGAGGCUGAACCAGCCAAGUCGCGUGAGGGAAGACGGCCCUACGGGUUGCAAACCUCUUUUGUCGGGGAGCAAAGCGAACCACGUGUGGUUCAUUGAGAGUACCCGAAGAAAAAGCAUCGGCUAACUCCGUGCCAGCAGCCGCGGUAAUACGGAGGAUGCGAGCGUUAUCCGGAUUUAUUGGGUU
This 503-nucleotide ribosomal RNA is filed under the name uncultured bacterium. RNAcentral describes it as "bacterial SSU rRNA". It matches the Rfam family "Bacterial small subunit ribosomal RNA", at positions 66 to 560 of the family's 1533-position model. The record is from RNAcentral.